Phyllopteryx taeniolatus (common seadragon) is the source of this 1756-nucleotide RNA transcript. It is a transcript of the gene named serine/arginine repetitive matrix protein 1-like, with no coding region annotated. NCBI's taxonomy places the organism in Eukaryota, Metazoa, Chordata, Actinopteri, Syngnathiformes, Syngnathidae. The record is from RefSeq and is a predicted model, not a curated record. The transcript has 4 exons.
CCAGUUGCAGACAGCAGAGUAAAAGCAAGUACAAAUAAAUACAUAAACAACAAACUGCACAAUGUGAUGUAAACAAACUGUACACAAAACAUACACACAGAACAUAAUACAAUACAAAGCACAAAUAAACAGACAAAAUCUUCCUGUCCAAUCAAAAUACACUGUAGCUCCCUUAACAUUGGCACUUUGCAUACAGGAGGUCGAGGUACAAAAUAAAGAACACGAUAAUAGUAAGAAGUAACAUCAAAUGUUCCUUACUUAGUAAUUAGAUAGAAACCACAAACUACCUUAACAAAAUCCACCAUCAAUAGCAUAUUCCUUCUAUUUGUAAUCAAGGGUAAGGAUUAUGAGCCCAACUCAACCAACAAGUGGGGGGAAAGGCUAUGCAUCCAGCAGACGUUCGACUGCCAUUCCAGUACGCAGUGCAGACAAAAAAAGGUUGUGCUUUGAGCAGAAGUAGGGACUGGUUUCAAGGAGAAUGACAACCACACAAGAUCCCAUUCACUGCCACCAAGGAAUAUAAUCCAGACAUGGAUAAAACUUUGCUAGAUUUUAUGCGCAAGGGUCGCGGGAGUGCUGGAGCCCAUCCCAGCUAUCAUCGGGCAGGAGGCGGGGUACACCCUGGACUGGUCGCCAGCCAAUCGCAGGGCACACAUAAAAAACGGUGAUGUAACACAGUGGUAAACAUGACCCUGUCCCAGCUUUUUUGGAAUGUGUUGCAGCCUUAAAAUUUAAUGAUUAUUUGCUAAAAACAAAAAAGUUUAUCAGUUUGAACAUUAAAUAUAUUGUGUUUGUAGUGUAUUCAAUUAAAUAUAGGUUGAACAUGAUUUACAAAUCAUUGUAUUCUGUUUUUAUUUGUUUAACACGUCCCAACUUCAUUGGAAUUGGGGUUGUAAGUGAGCACCCACCUCCCCCCUGUUCCUAUGACUGCCAGGUCCCCGACUGGCCCUACCUCGUGUAAGAGGUGGAAGCAGGCCCGAGGAACGACAGGGGGCCACCCACCAGCAGCCAGAGCAGGGGACCCAGCUGGCACCGCUCCAGCACCCACGGAACAUGGGCGAGUUACCAUCACACCACCAAUACUCCCCAGGAGGUCACCCCAGUGGUCCCCCAACCCACCCCAUCCCCAAGAUCAGAAAGGAGUGAAAAAAGUCCCACCCCUACAGACGCCGGAACAGCAAACACAGGGACACGAGAAGAACAUCCCCACUCCAUGCAUGUGUCCUCACCAUCCAAACCGAUCUAAAAUGUGUAAAAAUACAAAUAAAAAUAAAUAGAACAAUAAUAUAACAACAACCUCGACAACAAAGAAUACAGAAUUCCAUUGUUUACUUUCACACUUAUGAAAGUAGUCUUGCUAUUGUCAAAUGGCACCCUACCCAGGCAAAGGAAUCAAGAGUCUAGAUUUAGCAUGUUGAGGAAAGCUAUCGACAUAUAUAUGUAAUUUUUUUUUUCGUUCUGCUGAUAUUUUUUCUAACGCAACAUAUUCUAUGAUGAGAUUUAGCCAAUGAUUGAUAGCUUGUUUGUUUUUCCAGUUUAAUAGAAUUGUUUUCUUAGCAGUAGCUAAUGCGACAAGUAAUGAUUGUAAAUAUUUAUUAGGGAGGUCGAUUAUGCUUAAGUCAUCAAGUAUGCACAAUCUUGGGGAAAGUGGAAUCCUGCAGUUCAAAAUAGGGUUUUUGUAUAACCGAAGACCAAAAGCAUUGAAUUGGUAUACAUUCCCAUAUAUGUUUAGAUCCAUAAUAAAAGUUUAAAUUUC